GUGGGGAAUAUUGGGCAAUGGGCGGAAGCCUGACCCAGCGACGCCGCGUGGGGGAAGAAGUCUUUCGGGAUGUAAACCCUUGUUGUACGGGACGAAGGAAGUGACGGUACCGUACGAGGAAGCCCCGGCAAACUACGUGCCAGCAGCCGCGGUAAUACGUAGGGGGCGAGCGUUGUCCGGAAUCACUGGGCGUAAAGCGCACGUAGGCGGGCUGUCAAGUCGGCCGUGAAAGGCACGGGCUCAACCUGUGCAUGUCGGUCGAUACUGGCGGUCUGGAGUAUGGGAGAGGGAACUGGAAUUCCUGGUGUAGCGGUGAAAUGCGUAGAUAUCGGGAGGAACACCAGUGGCGAAGGCGGGUUCCUGGCCCAUGACUGACGCUGAGGUGCGAAAGCCGGGGGAGCGAACGGGAUUAGAUACCCCGGUAGUCC
RNAcentral lists this ribosomal RNA (428 nucleotides) under uncultured bacterium. RNAcentral's name for it is "partial 16S ribosomal RNA". It matches the Rfam family "Bacterial small subunit ribosomal RNA", at positions 354 to 796 of the family's 1533-position model. The record is from RNAcentral.